GNNCCAGCAGCCGCGGUANUANGUAGGUGGCNAGCGUNGUNNGGAUUUAUUGGGNGUAAAGCGAGCGCAGGCGGUUUNUUAANUNUGAUGUGAAAGCCCCCGGCUUAACCGGGGAGGGUCAUUGGAAACUGGGAGACUUGAGUGCAGAAGAGGAGAGUGGAAUUCCAUGUGUAGCGGUGAAAUGCGUAGAUAUAUGGAGGAACACCAGUGGCGAAGGCGGCUCUCUGGUCUGUAACUGACGCUGAGGCUCGAAAGCGUGGGGAGCGAACAGGAUUAGAUACCCUGGUAGUNCACGCCGUAAACGAUGAGUGCUAAGUGUUGGAGGGUUUCCGCCCUUCAGUGCUGCAGCAAACGCAUUAAGCACUCCGCCUGGGGAGUACGACCGCAAGGUUGAAACUCAAAGGAAUUGACGGGGGCCCGCACAAGCGGUGGAGCAUGUGGUUUAAUUCGAAGCAACGCGAAGAACCUUACCAGGUCUUGACAUCCUUUGACCACUCUAGAGAUAGAGCUUUCCCUUCGGGGACAAAGUGACAGGUGGUGCAUGGUUGUCGUCAGCUCGUGUCGUGAGAUGUUGGGUUAAGUCCCGCAACGAGCGCAACCCUUAUUGUUAGUUGCCAUCAUUUAGUUGGGCACUCUAGCGAGACUGCCGGUGACAAACCGGAGGAAGGUGGGGAUGACGUCAAAUCAUCAUGCCCCUUAUGACCUGGGCUACACACGUGCUACAAUGGGAAGUACAACGAGUUGCGAAGUCGCGAGGCUAAGCUAAUCUCUUAAAACUUCUCUCAGUUCGGAUUGUAGGCUGCAACUCGCCUACAUGAAGCCGGAAUCGCUAGUAAUCGCGGAUCAGCACGCCGCGGUGAAUACGUUCCCGGGCCUUGUACACACCGCCCGU
RNAcentral lists this ribosomal RNA (892 nucleotides) under uncultured bacterium. RNAcentral describes it as "bacterial SSU rRNA". It matches the Rfam family "Bacterial small subunit ribosomal RNA", at positions 505 to 1397 of the family's 1533-position model. The record is from RNAcentral.